RNAcentral lists this ribosomal RNA (141 nucleotides) under uncultured eukaryote. RNAcentral describes it as "partial 18S ribosomal RNA". It matches the Rfam family "Eukaryotic small subunit ribosomal RNA", at positions 1299 to 1458 of the family's 1831-position model. The record is from RNAcentral.
UGGUGGAGUGAUUUGUCUGGUUAAUUCCGAUAACGAGCGAGACCUCAGUUUGCUAAUUAGUUGUGCGAAUCGCGUAUUCGUGUAGACAGCUUCUUAGAGAGACUAUCGGUGAGUAGCCGAUGGAAGUUUGAGGCAAUAACA